AUGUGCCAUGCGUACCUUUCGGUUCCGCGCGCGCCGUCCACCCCCAUCUGACGACUGCUCGCUACGUUCUGUUGUCC
RNAcentral lists this small RNA (77 nucleotides) under Xanthomonas melonis. RNAcentral's name for it is "sX9 sRNA". It matches the Rfam family "Xanthomonas sRNA sX9". Lineage: Bacteria; Pseudomonadati; Pseudomonadota; Gammaproteobacteria; Lysobacterales; Lysobacteraceae. The record is from RNAcentral.